AUGGCGACGGCGACGGCGAUGAGCACGUCGACGUCGACGUCGUUCACUACGACGUCGUGUACAUUAUUGGCUACCCGCCGGCGAACGUUAUUGAUGCCACGUGUAACGCGCGUAUCUGUCCAGUUCCACGCGUUGAGAUUAUCAUGUAAACGAUAGCCGACGAAGUACCUUCUGUACGUCCGGUGUAGCGGACGCUUGUGUGCGACGCGCAGGAGGAUGCAUCGUUGCAUCGACGAAAGGGAGACGCUGGCGGGGCGGGCAGCGGACAAGGGUCAGCUGAUAGCCGACAAUUAUCUUUCAGUGUAGCUCGAACAAUCGAGCGGGACUGGUCGUCGCGUUGUCGUAAAACGUCGCGACUACUUUGUAAGCGGGCACGCGCGCGCGCACGGAAUUUUAUCGCGGAUUUUAUUCGCGAGAUAUCGUCUUCGAUAAUGACGUCGACGAUAACGUCAUUGUGGAGGCGGCAGCGCCGGCGGCGGUCUACCUUCGAUAAACAGAUCUCGACUCGAAAAUCUCAACUGAAAAUCAAUGGCUGUGCAACCGAGCCGUGCGACUGAGCGUUGAGCGCGCGAAAUUUCGCCCGUUUAAUCCCACACGUUCGUCAAAGGCAGAAAGGCCGAAAACGUCGCGCGCGGUCUUCUGUUUUUACCCUCUUUUCACCCUUUCGGUAUCGAAAACACACAUAUACGUCGUGUGCGCCUCUAUAAGUUGUGCGAUAUACAUAUAUAUACACACACACACACACACACAUAUAUACAAUAUGUAUAUGUAUAUAUUUCGUCAUUACGAAACGCAGAAUUGAAAUGCUUCGGCGACGGCUGAUAAACUACGAUCUGAUGACCCGAAUGUUUAUUUAUUCAACGGCGAUUCGAUUUGCGAUUGCAGACAUCAGUAAUCGGCAUUUUCAAUAACCGUUUUGCCCGUCUACGGAGGCGACUGCGGGGAAUGGAUAUCACAGAAACUUCUCGCGCAAUCCCAGCGAGUACGGCGGCUACGCGGGCGUCGUAUCGAGGGAACAACUCGCCGCGGGACGGCAACAUCGAGCUCCAAGGAAAUCCUGGACUUUCCUUAAAGCGUUCGAGGAGCUCAGCACUCCGAAUCAAGAGUGGGAACGAAAAGGCAACGGAGUGCAGAGAAGGAGGAGAACGCGACGAGUGCGAGAAGGAGAGGAGAAGCAUAGCUACAGGCGUCAGGAUGAAGGUACACGUAUUCUUUUUAAGGCGGAACACUUUACUGCCGCUCGUUUCACGGCGGUAAUGGAGGAAGCCCAGCCACCCCCGAAGAAUUAAUUCGGGGCUAAAGCCGAGAGGCGAAAGAAAGAGAAAGAGAGAGAGAGA
Long non-coding RNA from Harpegnathos saltator (Jerdon's jumping ant), 1337 nucleotides. RefSeq lists it as uncharacterized. The transcript is spliced from 3 exons. NCBI's taxonomy places the organism in Eukaryota, Metazoa, Arthropoda, Insecta, Hymenoptera, Formicidae. The record is from RefSeq and is a predicted model, not a curated record.